This 510-nucleotide ribosomal RNA is filed under the name uncultured bacterium. Its description in RNAcentral is "bacterial SSU rRNA". It matches the Rfam family "Bacterial small subunit ribosomal RNA", at positions 791 to 1320 of the family's 1533-position model. The record is from RNAcentral.
UAGUCCACGCCGUAAACGAUGUCAACUAGCCGUUGGGCGCUUUAAGUGCUUGGUGGCGCAGCUAACGCGAUAAGUUGACCGCCUGGGGGGUACGCCGGCAACGGUAAAACUCAAAGGAAUUGACGGGGGUCCGCGCAAGCAGUGGAGCAUGUGGUUUAAUUCGAAGCAACGCGCAGAACCUUACCACCACUUGACAUCACCAUCGCGAUUUCCGGAGACGGAUUUCUUCAGUUCGGCUGGAUGGAUGACGGGUGCUGCAUGGCUGUCGUCAGCUCGUGUCGUGAGAUGUUGGGUUAAGUCCCGCAACGAGCGCAACCCUCGCCUUUAGUUGCCAGCAUUUAGUUGGGCACUCUAGAGGAACCGCCGGUGAUAAGCCGGAGGAAGGUGGGGAUGACGUCAAGUCCUCAUGGCCCUUACGUGGUGGGCUACACACGUGCUACAAUGGCGCUAACAAUGGGUUAAUCCCCAAAAGGCGUCUCAGUUCGGAUUGUCUUCUGCAACUCGAAGGCA